UUUUUCUUUGAUUGUGAGGCAUAUUUAUCUUUCACAGUUAAUAUCUAAAACGUUACAAAUUUUAUCAUCCAUAUGUAUGUAUUACAAGUGAAUGCCAUUAUUUUAUUAAUGUUAUCAUCCAUAUGUAUGAUAGAUGGAGGCAGACUUAUUUUCCACCUUUAUGCACCAUCUUUCUACAAAAGGCAAGUUUAUUUCAAAAUUUGAAAAUAAUUACGUGUAAUGAUUUGGUCGGUUUGUAAUGUAUAUAUUAUCUUCUCUUUUUUUUCAGGAUACAUACCACUAGCUUUGGACUUCGUCAUAGUAUUGAAAUUUUCAGAGCGCAUAAAUAUUUGCCCCUAUCCCAAGAAAUACUCAAUAAUUACUUUUGGGAGGUAUGUUUGAUAUUUAUAUUUAAAUUUUUGAUUGAUUUGUUGAAAAUAAUUGAUAAACAUACAUGACUAAUUAUUCACAAUAACAAGAACUUUUUAGUUUAAAGGAAUCAUAAUAUGAAUCAUGCUUCACAAGUUCUAAAAAAUUACUUUCCAAAUUUAGUCACUUAAAAUUCUUCAAAAAAUAAGUUUACAAAAUUAGUCAUAAAGAAUUUGAAAUAAGAUU
This 594-nucleotide long non-coding RNA is filed under the name Ananas comosus (pineapple). RNAcentral describes it as "long non-coding RNA (ACOM_LNC020713)". Lineage: Eukaryota; Viridiplantae; Streptophyta; Magnoliopsida; Poales; Bromeliaceae. The record is from RNAcentral.